Molecule: ribosomal RNA, 118 nt
Filed under: Diaphorina citri (Asian citrus psyllid)
Lineage: Eukaryota; Metazoa; Arthropoda; Insecta; Hemiptera; Psyllidae
Source: RNAcentral
GACAGUGGCAAUAGCACGUUGAAUGCACCAGUUCCCAACCGAUCACUGAAGUUAAGCAAUGUUGCGCGUGGUUAGUACCUGGAUGGUGACCAUCUGGGGAAUCCGCGUGCUGCUGGGU